Molecule: ribosomal RNA, 1504 nt
Filed under: uncultured bacterium
Lineage: Bacteria
Description: bacterial SSU rRNA
Rfam family: Bacterial small subunit ribosomal RNA
Source: RNAcentral
AGAGUUUGAUCAUGGCUCAGAACGAACGCUGGCGGCGUGGAUAAGACAUGCAAGUCGAACGAGAGAAUUGCUAGCUUGCUAAUAAUUCUCUAGUGGCGCACGGGUGAGUAACACGUGAGUAACCUGCCCCCGAGAGCGGGAUAGCCCUGGGAAACUGGGAUUAAUGCCGCAUAGUAUCGGAAGAUUAAAGCAGCAAUGCGCUUGGGGAUGGGCUCGCGGCCUAUUAGUUAGUUGGUGAGGUAACGGCUCACCAAGGCGGUGACGGGUAGCCGGUCUGAGAGGAUGUCCGGCCACACUGGAACUGAGACACGGUCCAGACACCUACGGGUGGCAGCAGUCGAGAAUCAUUCACAAUGGGGGAAACCCUGAUGGUGCGACGCCGCGUGGGGGAAUGAAGGUCUUCGGAUUGUAAACCCCUGUCAUGUGGGAGCAAAUUAAAAAGAUAGUACCACAAGAGGAAGAGACGGCUAACUCUGUGCCAGCAGCCGCGGUAAUACAGAGGUCUCAAGCGUUGUUCGGAAUCACUGGGCGUAAAGCGUGCGUAGGCUGUUUCGUAAGUCGUGUGUGAAAGGCGCGGGCUCAACCCGCGGACGGCACAUGAUACUGCGAGACUAGAGUAAUGGAGGGGGAACCGGAAUUCUCGGUGUAGCAGUGAAAUGCGUAGAUAUCGAGAGGAACACUCGUGGCGAAGGCGGGUUCCUGGACAUUAACUGACGCUGAGGCACGAAGGCCAGGGGAGCGAAAGGGAUUAGAUACCCCUGUAGUCCUGGCAGUAAACGGUGCACGCUUGGUGUGCGGGGAAUCGACCCCCUGCGUGCCGGAGCUAACGCGUUAAGCGUGCCGCCUGGGGAGUACGGUCGCAAGAUUAAAACUCAAAGAAAUUGACGGGGACCCGCACAAGCGGUGGAGUAUGUGGCUUAAUUCGAUGCAACGCGAAGAACCUUACCUGGGCUUGACAUGUAAUGAACAACAUGUGAAAGCAUGCGACUCUUCGGAGGCGUUACACAGGUGCUGCAUGGCCGUCGUCAGCUCGUGUCGUGAGAUGUUUGGUUAAGUCCAGCAACGAGCGCAACCCCUGUUGCCAGUUACCAGCACGUGAAGGUGGGGACUCUGGCGAGACUGCCCAGAUCAACUGGGAGGAAGGUGGGGACGACGUCAGGUCAGUAUGGCCCUUAUGCCCAGGGCUGCACACGUACUACAAUGCCCAGUACAGAGGGGGCCGAAGCCGCGAGGCGGAGGAAAUCCUGAAAACUGGGCCCAGUUCGGACUGUAGGCUGCAACCCGCCUACACGAAGCCGGAAUCGCUAGUAAUGGCGCAUCAGCUACGGCGCCGUGAAUACGUUCCCGGGUCUUGUACACACCGCCCGUCACAUCAUGGAAGCCGGUCGCACCCGAAGUAUCUGAAGCCAACCGCAAGGAGGCAGGGUCCUAAGGUGAGACUGGUAACUGGGAUGAAGUCGUAACAAGGUAGCCGUAGGGGAACCUGCGGCUGGAUCACCUCCUU